GAUGAACGCUGGCGGCGUGCCUAAUACAUGCAAGUCGAGCGAACAGACGAGGAGCUUGCUCCUCUGACGUUAGCGGCGGACGGGUGAGUAACACGUGGAUAACCUACCUAUAAGACUGGGAUAACUUCGGGAAACCGGAGCUAAUACCGGAUAAUAUAUUGAACCGCAUGGUUCAAUAGUGAAAGACGGUUUUGCUGUCACUUAUAGAUGGAUCCGCGCCACAUUAGCUAGUUGGUAAGGUAACGGCUUACCAAGGCAACGAUGCGUAGCCGACCUGAGAGGGUGAUCGGCCACACUGGAACUGAGACACGGUCCAGACUCCUACGGGAGGCAGCAGUAGGGAAUCUUCCGCAAUGGGCGAAAGCUUGACGGGGCAACGCCGCGUGAGUGAUGAAGGUCUUCGGAUCGUAAAACUCUGUUAUUAGGGAAGAACAAAUGUGUAAGUAACUAUGCACGUCUUGACGGUACCUAAUCAGAAAGCCACGGCUAACUACGUG
Molecule: ribosomal RNA, 497 nt
Filed under: uncultured bacterium
Lineage: Bacteria
Description: partial 16S ribosomal RNA
Rfam family: Bacterial small subunit ribosomal RNA
Source: RNAcentral